Molecule: ribosomal RNA, 189 nt
Filed under: Triticum aestivum (bread wheat)
Lineage: Eukaryota; Viridiplantae; Streptophyta; Magnoliopsida; Poales; Poaceae
Description: partial small subunit ribosomal RNA
Source: RNAcentral
AUGGUUCAGACUGGUAGACACAUUGUUUUCCCUUUGGUAUAUCGCCUCAUUGAGUUGGCAUUAAUUUUGCCUGUUGCAACCGCAUCGGUGGAAAGAGCUUUCUCAGCUAUGAGUAUUAUCAAGACAGAGUUGAGGAAUAGGAUGAGUGAUGACUAGCUUAAUUAUAGGAUGGUUUGCUAUAUUGAGUGA